RNAcentral lists this long non-coding RNA (228 nucleotides) under Ricinus communis (castor bean). RNAcentral describes it as "long non-coding RNA (RCOM_LNC001211)". Lineage: Eukaryota; Viridiplantae; Streptophyta; Magnoliopsida; Malpighiales; Euphorbiaceae. The record is from RNAcentral.
UAACUAUGAACAGGUGAAUUAUACGGGAAGUUGGCCAAAUGACUUGUAUGGAAGCACCUACAAUCAAGAGUGGAGCACUCAUUCACCCUUUGGAUGGAGCUUAGAUGGCCAAGAACCACUAGGAUUUUAGCAACUACAUCAGCAGCCUAAUCUUACACCAUCAACUUAAGAUGAAGAGUUAGUGUCAGAGGAGCUGAUGAUGAGGUUCAUUGCAAGUUUUGAUGAUAG